AUGACAGAUGUCAAUGACGAGGGACAAGUUAUAGGGCAUCAAACAAACUUGCCAAAUGGAUUUUAUCGAGAUAUUGUCACCGUCACAUUUAAAGGGUUUGGCCUUACUUUCAGCAAAAUCCUUACCACUUUCAAAGUGAUUGAUUUCUCAAACAACUCAUUUUAUGGUCCUGUUCCGGAGUCAAUUGGAAGGCUUGUUUCACUGCAUGGACUUAACAUGUCACAUAACAACUUUACAGGGGAAAUUCCGUCCGAUUUUGGAAACUUGUCUCAGCUAGAGUCAUUGGAACUAUCUUGGAACCGGAUCUCAGGGAAGAUACCAAAAGAGUUAGCCUCUCUUACCUCUCUUGAAUGGUUGAAUCUUUCAUACAACAACUUGUCCGGAAGAAUUCCGCAUGGGAACCAGUUCUUGACAUUUUCUAACAGCUCAUUAAAAGGGAAUGGUGGCCUCUGUGGACUUCCACUCUCCAAACAAUGUGGAUCUCCAGGUUCAAAUGCAGUGGCUCCUCCUGAAUCCAACAGUUUGUGGCAGGACAAACUUGGUAUCAUCCUCCUGUUUGCUUUUGUUGGCCUCGGGUUUGGAGUGGGCUUCGCAUUGUCAUGCAUGUUACGAUUGUUCUGCCACCAAGAAGGAUGA
This 636-nucleotide ribosomal RNA is filed under the name Triticum aestivum (bread wheat). RNAcentral's name for it is "partial small subunit ribosomal RNA". Lineage: Eukaryota; Viridiplantae; Streptophyta; Magnoliopsida; Poales; Poaceae. The record is from RNAcentral.